Molecule: transfer RNA, 74 nt
Filed under: Schistocerca americana (American grasshopper)
Lineage: Eukaryota; Metazoa; Arthropoda; Insecta; Orthoptera; Acrididae
Description: tRNA-Thr
Rfam family: tRNA
About the family: Transfer RNA (tRNA) molecules are approximately 80 nucleotides in length.
Source: RNAcentral
UCCUCGGUGGCUCAGAUGGAUAGAGCGUCUGCCAUGUAAGCAGGAGAUCCUGGGUUCGAGUCCCAGUCGGGGCG